UCCACACUCUCUUUACCUCUGCGUGCUACCCGUUCCUCUGACUCCAUGAUGAAGGUGGACGGAGGGAGCGAGGGUGGGAGUCUAGAGGGAGGAUGGAAAGAGAUUUAGCGCGGGGGAGGAUGGAAAGAGAGCAGUGUAAUCUGGAAGGUCUAGAGUGGUUGGAGAAUGGUCGGCCGCAAAGACGGAGAGAGUCACGGCCUCGAAGUGCUGCGCCAGAGAAUAGACAAGCCCCACUAGGUAGGCUGGGGGGCCUAGGAGGCGUUUCUGCCACGGAAAGACCAACAAGAGCCGUGAUAGGUACCUACUUCCAAAUCGCGCUGCCGUCACUCCAGUCGCACACCUCAAGGACCCAACUCAACAACGUCGCUCUCUGAAACCCCUUCCCGCGUGCCGCCGCUCUACGCCCCAAGGCUCUACGCCUCCGCCCGUGGUCUCAUGGCCGCCGUCAGCGCCGCCGCCGACGGCCCUACCUAGACCACCGAGCAACCCUAGAAGGAACACCAACCCGAGUACGAGAAGCAGGACGUGGUGUUGGUCUUCCUCGUCAAGGCCGGCGGGCAGUAUUUACUUCCCAGUCUUUGACUUCUUCAAAGAGGACUCUUUCAAUUAAAGUGACUUCUCGAAAAUUCGUCAUGUAGAAAACGUGCCGUUAAUCGUCUGGUUUACUGAGAUCGUUUCCGGAUACAAUAGGAACGCUUUCUCGUACCGUUGGAAGUCGAACGUACCCUUGAAUCAAGGGUUUAUUCCUUAAGAGUUUCUAACGAGAGAGUUCCCCGACAAUCACCCUCUCGGUAGUGAGUCCUUCUUCGGGUAGGAUAUUAUUGAGCCGACCGUGCCAAUUAUAUGUUUCGCGUCCUGAGAGUAAUACUAUAGUCGUGGUGUUACCACUGUGAGUUCUCGGUACGGGAGCGUGAUCUCCUCGCACGUUUCCGUCGUCAACAAGUCUGACGGCUCAAACCAGUCAAUCGACGUCUUAGUGAAGGGUUCUUAUAGGUAACAAAUUGCCACUUUGACUGUCUUCUCACCGAAGUCUUGGGUUUUGAUUCCUCAGCAAGUCUCCUCGUGUCCUUAAGGUGUGCCAACCAUCUGUUAUUAGACAUAGUAAAGACAUAUAAGAGCCUAUUACACGACCGGUGAAGUCAACAACAGUUAAGAUGUCACAGUUUACGUUUGGUGGGAGUCGUCGAACACAAAGUACAUCAGUGUCUGUCCUAGUUAAAACCACGAUACAGUUGGACCAAGGACUAUUUACUGAAGUUUCCCACAUGACAGCUUCAGGUGACGUAUCUUCUCAAGAGUACCAACUUACGACGAAGAAGAAGAGAACAGUCCGCCGACAGGCUCUACCUUUGUUUCCCAAGGAGACCACCAAACUUCUGUGUUCUUGCCCUUUAUUUCAAGGUAUUAGGCUUCAAACAAAGAGACGACUUGGUAAAUGCCAAAAUGUAGGGAGUUUAUGAGGGGUUGGACCUCUUCCACCAAAAAGAACUACUACUACAACACCACGUUUUCCUGAACUGUGUCGAAAAAAGGUAUCUUAACGUACCAUUACAAUAACCUCGUCACCUCUGAACAAAUCUCAGUAAAGUAGCCAUAGUGUUUAUAGAAUUAAAGAGCGUUGGUUAUUAGUCGAGUUUCUAACUAGGUGUAUGAACACCCACCCGAAAACCUUACUUGUAUAAACUGGAUUAACGAACCUCCUUUCGUUUACGUUGUAGCGAAAUAGUAAUAACCGUCCUCGUUUUACGACUAGUUAACGAAACCUCUUGCCCGUGUGAAGGUCGUCCGGAAAACUGUAAAAUACCGGAUUACCUCGGGGAUCUGGCCUCUACCGUGCAUAACCCAGAACCCAUACUACAUCUGUAUCUACUGGCGAACUAACUCUCACGACGACAACACGUAAUAUUACCCUUGUACUUUGGGACCGACUUCAACCGGUAAGUGGCCAUGUUCAGAUAUACCCUCGCCGUACAGUUAAAGAGCGUGGGUGUACAAUCUCUCACAUACAAAGUGAUCCCUCACACGUUAGAGACAAGUGGUAGUUACCAGAAGGUGCCGUGACUUCGAUCUUUGAAGUCAAAGAAAUUAUCCUAACGAAAACUCGUGGGAUCAAAGCUUUAAGAAAACUCGUGGGAUCAAAGCUUUAGAAGGUCUCGAUCUAAUAUAUGAGUUGUCCGUAGUAGUUUCUUGAGUUGACAAAACCCACCCCCUUCUAAAUAAAACUCUUCUUUUAUUAAGUCAACGUCUAAAAAUGUAUGUUAAGCCAGACCUUCAAAAUCGUCAGAUUACUCUAAUGGACCUAUCUAUAACAUUUCCUCUAUGUCAACAACCUAACUACCCAGUAAAAAACUCUACAAUCUUUUACGGUUAACGGUUUAGUCGACACGUCUCGAAUGACCACAAGUAAGAAAAGUCCGAUAACAUAAAAUAUGACAUGGCAACUCCUUACAGAAGGAAAAGGAAAAACAUAUUUGUCAAGUCAUAAGAAGUGUCAUGCUUGAGCCGAGUUGACCUCUAUAUCCUUUCAAUUCAUUAAAACUACAAGUCUUUAACUCAAAGAGUACAAGGUAUGGUGUAUCGCUUCUCUUUUAACGUUAAGAGGG
This 2603-nucleotide ribosomal RNA is filed under the name Triticum aestivum (bread wheat). Its description in RNAcentral is "partial small subunit ribosomal RNA". Lineage: Eukaryota; Viridiplantae; Streptophyta; Magnoliopsida; Poales; Poaceae. The record is from RNAcentral.